Molecule: ribosomal RNA, 862 nt
Filed under: uncultured bacterium
Lineage: Bacteria
Description: bacterial SSU rRNA
Rfam family: Bacterial small subunit ribosomal RNA
Source: RNAcentral
AGUCGAGCGGAGAUGAGGUGCUUGCACCUUAUCUUAGCGGCGGACGGGUGAGUAAUGCUUAGGAAUCUGCCUAUUAGUGGGGGACAACAUUCCGAAAGGAAUGCUAAUACCGCAUACGUCCUACGGGAGAAAGCAGGGGAUCUUCGGACCUUGCGCUAAUAGAUGAGCCUAAGUCGGAUUAGCUAGUUGGUGGGGUAAAGGCCUACCAAGGCGACGAUCUGUAGCGGGUCUGAGAGGAUGAUCCGCCACACUGGGACUGAGACACGGCCCAGACUCCUACGGGAGGCAGCAGUGGGGAAUAUUGGACAAUGGGGGGAACCCUGAUCCAGCCAUGCCGCGUGUGUGAAGAAGGCCUUAUGGUUGUAAAGCACUUUAAGCGAGGAGGAGGCUACUGAGACUAAUACUCUUGGAUAGUGGACGUUACUCGCAGAAUAAGCACCGGCUAACUCUGUGCCAGCAGCCGCGGUAAUACAGAGGGUGCGAGCGUUAAUCGGAUUUACUGGGCGUAAAGCGUGCGUAGGCGGCUUUUUAAGUCGGAUGUGAAAUCCCCGGGCUUAACUUGGGAAUUGCAUUCGAUACUGGGAAGCUAGAGUAUGGGAGAGGAUGGUAGAAUUCCAGGUGUAGCGGUGAAAUGCGUAGAGAUCUGGAGGAAUACCGAUGGCGAAGGCAGCCAUCUGGCCUAAUACUGACGCUGAGGUACGAAAGCAUGGGGAGCAAACAGGAUUAGAUACCCUGGUAGUCCAUGCCGUAAACGAUGUCUACUAGCCGUUGGGGCCUUUGAGGCUUUAGUGGCGCAGCUAACGCGAUAAGUAGACCGCCUGGGGAGUACGGUCGCAAGACUAAAACUCAAAUGAAUUGACGG